CCUACGGGAGGCAGCAGUGGGGAAUUUUGGACAAUGGGCGCAAGCCUGAUCCAGCAAUGCCGCGUGAGUGAAGAAGGCCUUCGGGUUGUAAAGCUCUUUUGUCAGGGAAGAAACGGUGGGAGCUAAUAUCUCUUGCUAAUGACGGUACCUGAAGAAUAAGCACCGGCUAACUACGUGCCAGCAGCCGCGGUAAUACGUAGGGUGCAAGCGUUAAUCGGAAUUACUGGGCGUAAAGCGUGCGCAGGCGGUUUUGUAAGACUGUCGUGAAAUCCCCGGGCUCAACCUGGGAAUGGCGAUGGUGACUGCAAGGCUAGAGUUUGGCAGAGGGGGGUAGAAUUCCACGUGUAGCAGUGAAAUGCGUAGAUAUGUGGAGGAACACCGAUGGCGAAGGCAGCCCCCUGGGUCAAAACUGACGCUCAUGCACGAAAGCGUGGGGAGCAAACAGGAUUAGAUACCCUGGUAGUCCACGCCCUAAACGAUGUCUACUAGUUGUCGGGUCUUAAUUGACUUGGUAACGCAGCUAACGCGUGAAGUAGACCGCCUGGGGAGUACGGUCGCAAGAUUAAAACUCAAAGGAAUUGACGG
Molecule: ribosomal RNA, 585 nt
Filed under: uncultured bacterium
Lineage: Bacteria
Description: bacterial SSU rRNA
Rfam family: Bacterial small subunit ribosomal RNA
Source: RNAcentral